GUUGUAUAUUACCCAGGCUAUGUCUAGAUGUUGUAUGUUACCCAAGCUAUGUCUAGAUGUUGUAUGUUACCCAGGCUGUGUCUAGAUGUUGUAUAUUACCCAGGCUAUGUCUAGAUGUUGUAUGUUACCCAAGCUAUGUCUAGAUGUUGUAUGUUACCCAGGCUAUGUCUAGAUAAUGUAUGCUACGUUUAUCUACUAUCCUGGCUGUCCAUCACAGAGUUCUGUGUAUGUCUGUGUAUUGCCCUAGGUCAUAUCUGUUGCUGGUAGAGCCCAGCGCUGAUCACUCUGCUUUUAAUUAACCAUAUUAACAUGAACACAUUAUCUUUCUCUCUGCUUUUAAUUAACCAUAUUAACAUAAACACUUUAUCUUCCUCUCUCUCUCUCACUCCGUUGCCCUCUCUAUACUCUCUCUCACCCCUCCCUUUUUGUAUUUACCCCUGCAUCCCUCUCCCUGUCUUCCUACAAUAGUGCUGUUAGAUGGCCUCAGGCUAUCCCGACCAGCUGCAUUAAACCUGGACUAAUCAAC
Oncorhynchus tshawytscha (Chinook salmon) is the source of this 526-nucleotide long non-coding RNA. NCBI's taxonomy places the organism in Eukaryota, Metazoa, Chordata, Actinopteri, Salmoniformes, Salmonidae. The record is from Ensembl.